RNAcentral lists this ribosomal RNA (253 nucleotides) under uncultured bacterium. RNAcentral's name for it is "partial 16S ribosomal RNA". It matches the Rfam family "Bacterial small subunit ribosomal RNA", at positions 524 to 776 of the family's 1533-position model. The record is from RNAcentral.
AACGUAGGAGGCAAACGUUAUCCGGAGUUACUGGGCGUAAAGCGCGCGCAGGCGGGUGAAUAAGUGAGGCGUGAAAGCGCCCGGCUAAACCGGGCGAGGACGAAUCAGACUGUUCACCUGGAGUCAGAUAGAGGAGCGUGGAAUUCCGGGUGUAGCGGUGAAAUGUGUAGAGAUCCGGAGGAACACCAGAGGUGCAGACGGCGCUCUGGGUCUGAACUGACGCUGAGGCGCGAAAGAGUAGGGAGCGAACGGG